UACGGGGGGGGCAAGCGUUGUUCGGAAUUACUGGGCGUAAAGGGCUCGUAGGCGGCCAACUAAGUCGGAUGUGAAAUCCCCAGGCUUAACCUGGGAACUGCAUCCGAUACUGGAUGGCUUGAGUUUGGGAGAGGGAUGCGGAAUUCCAGGUGUAGCGGUGAAAUGCGUAGAUAUCUGGAGGAACACCGGUGGCGAAGGCGGCAUCCUGGACCAACACUGACGCUGAGGUGCGAAAGCGUGGGGAGCAAACAGG
This 253-nucleotide ribosomal RNA is filed under the name uncultured bacterium. RNAcentral's name for it is "partial 16S ribosomal RNA". It matches the Rfam family "Bacterial small subunit ribosomal RNA", at positions 524 to 776 of the family's 1533-position model. The record is from RNAcentral.